This 393-nucleotide ribosomal RNA is filed under the name uncultured bacterium. RNAcentral's name for it is "partial 16S ribosomal RNA". It matches the Rfam family "Bacterial small subunit ribosomal RNA", at positions 523 to 918 of the family's 1533-position model. The record is from RNAcentral.
AUACGGAGGGUGCAAGCGUUAUCCGGAUUUAUUGGGUUUAAAGGGUGCGUAGGCGGUUAUUUAAGUCAGUGGUGAAAGUUUUCGGCUCAACCGGAAAAUUGCCAUUGAUACUGGGUAGCUAGAAUAUGGUUGCUGUGAGUAGAAUGUGUGGUGUAGCGGUGAAAUGCAUAGAUAUCACACAGAAUACCGAUUGCGAAGGCAUCUCACAAAGCCAUCAUUGACGCUGAGGCACGAAAGUGUGGGGAUCAAACAGGAUUAGAUACCCUGGUAGUCCACACUGUAAACGAUGAUAACUAGCUGUUGGCGAUACACAGUCAGUGGCCAAGCGAAAGCGAUAAGUUAUCCACCUGGGGAGUACGAUCGCAAGAUUGAAACUCAAAGGAAUUGACGGGG